RNAcentral lists this ribosomal RNA (440 nucleotides) under uncultured bacterium. RNAcentral's name for it is "partial 16S ribosomal RNA". It matches the Rfam family "Bacterial small subunit ribosomal RNA", at positions 338 to 795 of the family's 1533-position model. The record is from RNAcentral.
CCUACGGGAGGCAGCAGUGGGGAAUAUUGCACAAUGGGGGAAACCCUGAUGCAGCGACGCCGCGUGAAUGAAGAAGUAUUUCGGUAUGUAAAGCUCUAUCAGCAGGGAAGAACAUGACGGUACCUGAUUAAGAAGCCCCGUCUAACUACGUGCCAGCAGCCGCGGUACUACGUAGGGGGCAAGCGUUAUCCGGAUUUACUGGGUGUAAAGGGAGCGUAGACGGCAGCACAAGUCUGGAGUGAAAUGCCGGGGCUUAACCACGGAACUGCUGUGGAAACUGUGCAGCUAGAGUGCAGGAGAGGUAGGUGGAAGUCGUAGUGUAGCGGUGAAAUGCGUAGAUAUUAGGAGGAACACCAGUGGCGAAGGCGGCUUACUGGACUGUAACUGACGUUGAGGCUCGAAAGCGUGGGGAGCAAACAGGAUUAGAUACCCUUGUAGUC